This 919-nucleotide ribosomal RNA is filed under the name Agelosus carinatus. Its description in RNAcentral is "eukaryotic LSU rRNA". The stretch from base 354 to 919 matches the Rfam family "Eukaryotic large subunit ribosomal RNA", at positions 1 to 1107 of the family's 3401-position model. Lineage: Eukaryota; Metazoa; Arthropoda; Insecta; Coleoptera; Staphylinidae. The record is from RNAcentral.
UCGUCCGCCCCGGAGCGUUGGACGCCAGAGACGGUCACGGACCUCGCGGUCCGACGAUCGCUCCGUUCUCGCUCUGUGUGUCGGGGUGACGAACGCGUGCACUUCUCCCCUAGUAGGACGUCGCGACCCGUUGGGUGCAGGCCUAAGGAUCGGGGUGGAGACCGAGUGGCGCCUUCGGGCUGUUUCCGUUCGGACCCCCGUCUCCCGGCCUGCCCGCCCGACGGUAUAGCAGUGGCGCGGGGCCGCGAUCUUACGAUUCGCGUCCGGCCCGUCGCAAGUGCUUGCGGAUAUCCGGUGGGCGUCUGGGGACUCGUGCCCCGACUUCACCGGACCCGUUCGACUGCUGGCGACGGUGUCCUCGGACAGACUCCGUUUUAUACGCCCGUCGGCGACGCUUUAGCUUUGGGUACUUUCAGGACCCGUCUUGAAACACGGACCAAGGAGUCUAGCAUGUGCGCGAGUCAUUGGGACUUAGCGAAACCUAAAGGCGUAAUGAAAGUGAAGGCCGCGCCUGGCGCGCGCCUAGGGAGGAUGUGCAGGACUAUGUUUCCGCGCCGCACUCCCGGGGCGUCUCGUGCUCAUCGCGAGCUGAGGCGCACCCAGAGCGUACAUGCUGGGACCCGAAAGAUGGUGAACUAUGCCUGGUCAGGACGAAGUCAGGGGAAACCCUGAUGGAGGUCCGUAGCGAUUCUGACGUGCAAAUCGAUCGUCGGAACUGGGUAUAGGGGCGAAAGACCAAUCGAACUAUCUAGUAGCUGGUUCCCUCCGAAGUUUCCCUCAGGAUAGCUGGCGCUCCGGUGAGCGAGUCUCAUCCGGUAAAGCGAAUGAUUAGAGGCAUUGGGGUCGAAACGACCUCAACCUAUUCUCAAACUUUAAAUGGGUGAGAUCUCCGGCUUGCUCAAACGAUGAAGCCGCGAGA